GUUUAUGGCGGCUGUACGUGGGGCACCUUCGUGUGCGCCGAGUUACUCCGGGAUCCUCGGUCUGUCAACCCAUGUACAGCUGCCACCCUC
Pseudomonas putida KT2440 is the source of this 90-nucleotide non-coding RNA. Lineage: Bacteria; Pseudomonadati; Pseudomonadota; Gammaproteobacteria; Pseudomonadales; Pseudomonadaceae. The record is from Rfam.